This 514-nucleotide long non-coding RNA is filed under the name Homo sapiens (human). RNAcentral's name for it is "non-protein coding lnc-USP16-13:1". The record is from RNAcentral. Lineage: Eukaryota; Metazoa; Chordata; Mammalia; Primates; Hominidae.
GCAAUCAAGAAUCUUUAAUUUGUUACUCUGUUUUCUCAGAUAUUCUUUUUAAACUAUUCCUUUGAACUCAUAAGGAGCUAUUACUUCUCUCAGCCAUUAGCCUUUUCACACUUUUGCUCUUUCUGACCACUGUGUGCCAGAGAUUGCAAAUUCUUUGAGGUCAGGCUUUGUAUUGUUUACCUUUGCAUGUGACUAGCACAUACACUUGCACUCAAUUAAUUAAAAAGCCAUUUCCUCAGCCAUACUAAACAUAUUUCCAGUACUUAAUAGUCCCAUGAAGAUGACACCUACAAAAUUGGAUAGCAGAUAUUUUCAUCUCAGAAUGUCUUAUUGGACAGCACUAGUCCAAACAAUUGAUGGAGAAGAUCAUUUGGGUGUAGAGAGGCAGGUUGUAAUUUAUAACUCAUUAUCAGGGAGGGUGAGUAUAGGGCUGUCACGAUAUCAGAAAUGCCUUGGCAAUUCUCAGCUGUUUGAUGCAUUAACACACUUCUUCCACCUGGAAAUGGAAUUCCAG